Molecule: regulatory RNA element, 129 nt
Organism: Pelosinus sp.
Lineage: Bacteria; Bacillati; Bacillota; Negativicutes; Selenomonadales; Sporomusaceae
Rfam family: PyrR binding site
About the family: This family represents the PyrR binding site and terminator structure.
Source: Rfam
AUGUCCUUUAAGACAGUCCUGUGAGGCUGGCAAGGGAAUGGUCCAUACUAUGCUGCAUUGUAACUAUUUGCAGCCAUAUUACGGCUAAGUAAGCUUCCUUCCAGAUAAUGGAUAGGAAGCUUUUUUGAU